GACGAACGCUGGCGGCGUGCUUAACACAUGCAAGUCGUACGGUAAGGCCCUUUCGGGGGUACACGAGUGGCGAACGGGUGAGUAACACGUGAGUAACCUGCCCACAACUUUGGGAUAACGCUAGGAAACUGGUGCUAAUACUGGAUAUGUGCUCCUGCUGCAUGGUGGGGGUUGGAAAGCUCCGGCGGUUGUGGAUGGACUCGCGGCCUAUCAGCUUGUUGGUGGGGUAGUGGCCUACCAAGGCGGCGACGGGUAGCCGGCCUGAGAGGGUGACCGGCCACAUUGGGACUGAGAUACGGCCCAGACUCCUACGGGAGGCAGCAGUGGGGAAUAUUGCACAAGGGGCGCAAGCCUGAUGCAGCAACGCCGCGGGCGGGAUGACGGCCUUCGGGUUGGAAACCGCUUUCAGCAGGGACGAAGCUUUUUGUGACGGUACCUGCAGAAGAAGCACCGGCUAACUACGUG
This 465-nucleotide ribosomal RNA is filed under the name uncultured bacterium. Its description in RNAcentral is "partial 16S ribosomal RNA". It matches the Rfam family "Bacterial small subunit ribosomal RNA", at positions 28 to 507 of the family's 1533-position model. The record is from RNAcentral.